UAAAACGAGACACACUCGAAAUUAAAUUGAAGCAUUCAACAUUUCAAACUGGGAAGAAUGGUGACAUCAAAAAAAUCGAAAUUUUCAUUGCAAAAAGGGUCAGACUUAAUUUACGACUUUUGCUGCACAGUGUGUGAAGAGAAUGGCGCAUAUAACAAGGAGGUAGAGGCCUUUUGUGAACAGUGUUUCAAGUGUUACUGCGUCAAAUAUGUGGGACUUCACAACCGAUCGUUCAACAAACACAGUUUGGCUUUACGAAAUGAACUGCAUAAAUGGACGGAAAUCAAGGCUAAAGUGGAUGCGCUGGAAAAAUGCCCAGAACACAAGAAUGAUGUUAUAAAAUCAUUAUGCGAGGACCAUCAACAGCUGUUGUGUCAUGAUUGCCUUCAGACUAAACAUCGGCAUUGCGUCAAUGUGGUCACUACUGAUGAAAAGUUGAAAGGCCAACGCACGAAAGGGGAUAUCCAGAAAGCAGCCAGAAAUAUUGACACAUUACAAGCAAAGUUGAGUCAAAGAAUAAAUGCCCUUGAAAAUGACAUUCAGUCAGUUAACAAAACGUACGAGAAAAUACUUAAUGACAUCCGAACAUUACACAAAACGCUCAUUGAAGCUCUACAGCAACUAGAGAUAGACAUCAUUAAAAAACUUGAUGCACUGAUGACCACCAUAUAGACAUCAAUAGAAAGUGACACAGACCAAUGUACCAAACUUCAUACAAAGAUGAUAUGUUUCCAAGAUAAGAUUAAAAGUCUAGAAUACCAGUCUGAAGCCAUGUAUUUUAUUAUGUAUACUAAAUGUCUAGAAAUUGCGACUGAGGCAGGUACUUUUCUAAAAGAUGUGAAAACACAUGAUAAAGUCAAGAUGUAGUAAACUCCUGAUACAACCAUUACACAGACUUUGACCACGCUGUCAGGUUUAGGAAAAUUUGAAUGUCUUUCAAAGUUUGCACAUUCACCAAGAAAAGAAGAUAAUGAUGCUGUUGAGAUUGAUUAUAGGACCUUUUAUGAUAUUUUCGAUGAGACAGAAACAAUUCUCAAUGUUAAUAGACUUAAAAGUUAUAAAGACUAUGGCGCAAGAUACUAUCAAAUAUCAGCUAUUUGUGAGACAGCAGAAGAAAAUAUAUUAAUUUUAGACAAGCUGGACGAGAGCGUUAAGUUGCUUGAUCACUCGUACAACGUAGUGUCUCGCUAUGACCUGUAUGCUGAAGUCUUCUCGAUUUGCAGAGUUGACCCCAGACUGGUAGCUGUUGCUGUGGGUGACAAGGAAAUGGAAGAUGAUAUUAGUGAUCAUCCUGAACGUUAUAGUCUUCCUGUUAGGUUCCCGCGACAUGAUCAACAUGAUAUGACCGUUUUUAUUAAAGAAAGCAAUGGUCAACUGAUCUUGGACAGAUUUAAGACACUGUAUGAUCACAAAUGUAGAGGUAUCACCCAUCGCCAUGGCAACCUUUACAUAGCAUCAGGUACAGCCCUGUACCAGUACACUAUGGAUGGUAGGCAUUAAUGGAAAUUGUAUGAGGAUAGGUCUCCUCGCUCAGUUCCGUCUUGUGCUGUCAGUGUAGAUGGGGCUAGGAUCUAUAUAACUGAUCAAAUGAAGUAAAGGCUGGUCACUCUGUCUAGGGAUGGAACAUUGAAAUCCACACUGACAGACUGUCAAUUCCGCUUCCGAACUUUAGAUGACCUCCAUGUGACAGAAAUGGGGCAGGUUCUAGUAUGUGGAUAUUCUUCAGUCGCCCAGGUGGACAGAGAAGGGAGAAAUAUAUUGGCACAGGUGGUCACACAUAAAAUGAUGAAGGAACUUAUACGGAAACAAAAAUAUUUCAAACCAACAUACGUCUACUUCGAUAGAAAUACAGACUCAUUGUGGGAAUGACGUCAGGGAUAUAUGCGUUCGCAGAAUAAAUUAUUUUAAUCGAUGUCGCACAAACCAUAGAUUUAAAAAAGAGACAAACGAACUAAACAGAUGUAAACUUCUCCUGUACUUGAGACUCAAUUGGGUACAUUGACAUAAGACCAUCUUUCGAUUUCAAACGAAAUACACCAAUUCGAUUCCAUUCAUUUCUCUAUUUUUCACAUAACUCUAUGAACAGAAGACUUAACCAAUAAUGUAAAUGUUAACACAUACCAAACAAGAAAUUCUUUCGUUAUAUGUGUUUAAACCUCACAUAUGUAUGUUUAACUUGCCCAUUUCAUUAUAUCACAUUCACACAAUUUUGUAGUUUAAUAUUACAAAUAAUCACUGGCAUUCAUUAGUUGUUCAAUAGUAUUGAAUUUCUUAUUGUAUCAUAAAGCAGUCACUUUUUUAAAUACCUUUUUUAUUCCGAGAUAUUGUUGUGUAUUAAAAGCUCUUUAUAAGAUUAUUUAUGGUUUAAUAAAACACAAUUUACCUUUGAUAAUUCUUGAAGCAAUAUUUCAUAACACUAACGAGAUCUCUUAUUUAUUCCUCAGCACUAAAAAACUAUUUUAUUUUAAAUAUUUGUACAAAUAUUAAUUAGUAGUAGAUUCCCGUUUUUGGUAUAUUGUUGUUGUUAGUUGUGUUUGAUUGAACGAAGGCUAUUUUUGUACGUACUUAGGCAGUAUAAUUGCAAAACUGAGCACUAAAAUAAGUAUAUUGUCAUUUACAUGUAGCAACUCACUUCUUCAAAUUCAUGUUUUGUUAAACGCUUAUUCAAUGAGAACAAACAACAAAAUAAACUAUAUAAAAUUAUACAACAUAAGAGAAACAAAGGCUCAAAAUAUAACGGAUGGAACUUAGUGGUUACCCGUGAGCCCGGGGCAAGUAGAUUUUGGCCUGGGCAACUCAAUUUCAAAAGUUCGUAAACUUCUUUUUUUUAAUCUAACAACAAUUCAGUGCAAUAGAAUUGAAAAAACAAUUGAUCACCAUGGAUCUAUACUAGUUAAAAAACAUUCAUUAUUUAGGAAGAGGACAUGAUUCAAUUCAGGCUCAUAAUAAUACAUCAUGCAUCGAACGUGUGUAUUGUCAGCAAAUGUAUUUAAUUAUAUAUUAUUAAAUUAAAAGAAUGUAUAAUAUUCACAUGUUCAUAUUAUUUCUGGGCUCGUUAUUCUUUAUCUGGGCAACCAAUUACUAAAGAUAGUUGCCCACAAUAGUUUUCAAUCCCUGGCAUAUCAUUGUAACUUUAUUGUUAUAAGCAUUGCAUUAAAGUUGUGAUUGAGGUUAGCUUGUUGUUUAUAGUAAAUUUACUUUUUAGCUCGACUAUUAUAUAUGAAAAAUAUAUAGUGGAGCUAUCCUUCUCAACCCGGCGUCGGCGUGCGCAUUGGAAUGUUUGCGUACCACCUCAAAUAUAUUUCCUAUGUCCAUUGACAUAUUGCUUUUAUAUUUGCAUACUUCUUUACCAACAUUACCCCAAUCGAUAAACAAAAGCAGACAACUGUAUCAAGCAUUUUAACAGAAUUAGGCCCUUUUUCACUUAGAAUAUGCAUAUUAUUGAUAAAUCUAUGUUAAAGUUUGCAUACCACCUAAAAUAUUUUCUAUUUUCCUUGACAUAUUGCUUUCAUACAUGUAUUUUGCAUUCUUUUUAACCAACAUGACCCCAAUGUUUUAACAAGGGCAGAUAACUGUAUCAAGCAUUUUGUAACAAUUAUGGCCUUUUUUUCACUUAGAAUAUGCAUAUAAUUGAUAAAUCAAUGUUAAAGUUUGCGUACUACCUUUAAAUUGCCAUAACUUCUAUAUGAUGCUCCCCACAAAUUUUUUAGGGGGCUCCCCCAGUAAAGUCGCCGCUUCGUCUGUCCGUCCGUGCACAAUUUUUGUCCGCGCUAUUUCGCAGCAACUUAUGACUGGAAUUCAAUUAAACUUUAUGGGGAGCUUCACUACCAAGAGGAGAUGUGCAUAUUAUCAGCCGGUUCUGGUCGGAUGAUUUUUCACAGAGUUACAAUGUAUGGUCCUUUGAAAUUGUCCAUUAACUGUACAUAUAGUGCAAUUCUUGUCCGGGCUAUUUCUCAGCAACCAAUGACCGGAAUUCAAUGAAACUUUAUGGGAAGAUUCACUACCAAGAGGACAUGUGCAUAUUAUCAGCCGGUUCUCGUCGGAUGAUUUUUCACAGGGUUAUGGCCCUUUGAAAUUUUCCAUUGAACAUAUAGUGCAAUUCUUGUCCGAGCUAUUUCUCAGUAACUUAUUACGGUAAUUCAAUGAAACUUUACGGGAAGCUUCACUACCAACAGGAGAUGCGCAUAUUAUCAGCCGGUUAUGGUCGGUUGAUUUUUCACAGAGUUAUGGCCCUUUGAAAUUUUCUAUAAACUUUACAUAUCCAUGUCGUGCAAUUCUUUUCCGCGCUAUUUCUCCCCAACUACUACCUGGAAUACAAUGAAGCUUUAUGGGAAGCUUAACUACCUCUAGGAAAUGCGCAUGUUAUAAGUGGGUUCUGGUUAGAUGAUUUAUUUAGAGAGUUAUGGAAAUUUUAAAGUUGCUAAACCAUCCAUUGUUAUAUUUUGUCCAAAGUUAUACUCCUCAAGACGUUUUCAUUUAUCUGAAUAUAUAGUACAAUAUUGUGACCAAAAAACCUUUGGGGAGAAUCACCCAUCUCCGAUUGUUUCAAAUUUGAUUCAUGCUUUGACAAAACAACACUAACCUGACAUACCACAAUGGACACCACCCAAACUUGCAAUAAAACCUUAUUAGAUUGUUCUAUGUCUUAUCAAAUGUUCAAUUGAUUGUGGAAAAUAUACCUGAAAACAGAAUCGUCUAUAAAGUACAUCUUCUUUAAAACAUAAGUGAUCAAUAUUUUUCAGUUACAUUUAUGGUCCUCUUCCACUCAGAAUAUGAAUUUAUUACAUUGACCUUAUUGAAUAUGAACAAUUUCCCCAUGAUAGCUUUCGUUAUACUGUCAAGCACUCGAAUAGUCGAGCGCGCUGUCCUCUGACAGCUCUUGUUAAGUCCCAGAGUCUAUACUGGGGGACAUAUUGUUUUUGCCCUGUCUGUUUGUUGGUUUGUUUGUUUGUUGGUUUGCGUCAAACUUAAACAUUGGCCAUAACUUUUGCAAUAUUGAAGAUAGCAACUUGGUAUUUGGCAUGCAUAUGUAUCUAAUUGAGCUGCACAUUUUGAGUGGUGAAAGGUCAAGGUUAUAAUUCAAGGUCAAAGGUCAAAUAUAUAGGGGACAUAUUGUUUCACAAACACAUCUUGUUUGUGACUCCUAUAAAAGCUUAAAUAGUGUCAAGAAUCUUAAUGUACAGCACCAUUUCAUUUGCAAUCAAUAUUUGAAUAAUUCCAAUUGUGUGCUACAUUUAAUUACAGUGUAUAAUUCUUUUUGAAAGAAAAAUGAUUU
Long non-coding RNA from Dreissena polymorpha, 5275 nucleotides. RefSeq lists it as uncharacterized. NCBI's taxonomy places the organism in Eukaryota, Metazoa, Mollusca, Bivalvia, Myida, Dreissenidae. The transcript has 3 exons. The record is from RefSeq and is a predicted model, not a curated record.